AUUGAACGCUGGCGGCAGGCCUAACACAUGCAAGUCGAGCGGAGCUGCGGACGGACGGGUAAUUCCUAGGUAUCUGCCUGGCCGCGGGGGAUAACGUCCGGAAUCGGGCGCUAUUACCGUAUCUUUUCAGAUGAGCCUAGGCCGGAUUAGCUAGUUGGUGGGUGAAGGGCUUACCAAGGCGACGAGCCGUAACUGGUCUGAGAGGAUGAUCAGUCACACUGGAACUGAGACACGGUCCAGACUCCUACGGGAGGCAGCAGUGGGGAAUAUUGGACAAUGGGCGAAAGCCUGAUGCAGCCAUGCCGCGUGUGUGAAGAAGGUCUUCGGAUUGUAAAGCACUUUAAGUUGGGAGGCGUUACCAACAGAAGAAGCACCGGCUAACUUCGUGCCAGCAGCCGCGGUAAUAC
Molecule: ribosomal RNA, 407 nt
Filed under: uncultured bacterium
Lineage: Bacteria
Description: partial 16S ribosomal RNA
Rfam family: Bacterial small subunit ribosomal RNA
Source: RNAcentral